CAUAAAACAUAAAAACCCUGCGAUUGCAAUAUUUUUUGUAUAGUUCUUUAAAAGUAAAAAGGAAACUUGUUUUGGGAGAAUAAAAUAACUCUGGGCUGAGUUU
This is a long non-coding RNA of Etheostoma cragini (Arkansas darter), 103 nucleotides long. RefSeq lists it as uncharacterized. The transcript is spliced from 3 exons. NCBI's taxonomy places the organism in Eukaryota, Metazoa, Chordata, Actinopteri, Perciformes, Percidae. The record is from RefSeq and is a predicted model, not a curated record.